This 459-nucleotide ribosomal RNA is filed under the name uncultured bacterium. RNAcentral describes it as "partial 16S ribosomal RNA". It matches the Rfam family "Bacterial small subunit ribosomal RNA", at positions 338 to 795 of the family's 1533-position model. The record is from RNAcentral.
GCUACGGGAGGCAGCAGUGAGGAAUAUUGGUCAAUGGGCGCGAGCCUGAACCAGCCACGUCGCGUGAGGGAAGACGGUCCUAUGGAUUGUAAACCUCUUUUGUCGGGGAGCAAAAGACGCCACGCGUGGCGUUCCGAGAGUACCCGAAGAAAAAGCAUCGGCUAACUCCGUGCCAGCAGCCGCGGUCAUACGGAGGAUGCCACCGUUAUCCGGAUUUAUUGGGUUUAAAGGGUUCGCAGGCGGAAGAUCAAGUCAGCGGGAAAAUUGAGGGGCUACACCUCUUCGCGCCGUUGAAACUGGUGUUCUUGAGGGAGUGAGAAGCAUGCGGAAGGCGGGGGGUAGCGGGGAAAUGCAUAGAUAUCACGCAGAACUCCGAUGGCGAAGGCAGCAUACCGGCGCUCAACUGACGCUCAUGCACGAAAGUGUGGGUAUCGAACAGGAUGAGAUACCCUAGUAGUC